UUCUUAUCACGAGUCAGGGGAGGAACUGGUCCUAUGAUCCUGCAGCAACCGCUUAUCUUUACUAGAUAAGAAAGGUGCUAAUUCCAGCAGACAUGCUAUGUCUGAGAGAUGAGAA
RNAcentral lists this non-coding RNA (115 nucleotides) under Fictibacillus arsenicus. RNAcentral's name for it is "SAM-I sequence". It matches the Rfam family "SAM riboswitch aptamer (S box leader)". From Rfam's summary of the family: The SAM riboswitch is found upstream of a number of genes which code for proteins involved in methionine or cysteine biosynthesis in Gram-positive bacteria. The SAM riboswitch acts at the level of transcription termination control. The record is from Rfam by way of RNAcentral. Lineage: Bacteria; Bacillati; Bacillota; Bacilli; Caryophanales; Fictibacillaceae.